AGACAACUUUGACGGGCAAACAAGAUUUUAUAAAUUGAGUAGAUGAGGUUCACGUUUCAGUUGCGAAAAUUACGGUGAAGACACCGUACAGGCUGCAUUACUGAGACCUGCAGUUCAUAACGUUUAUGCGGCAAUCAAACGCAGAAACAUUCGAGACCACACGCGCGCUUACACACCCAUUCACACACGCGCACGCACGCACGCACACACACACAGAGUAAAAAAGUUUUGGAGUCAAUAAAUGUCCAAAUAUGUCACACUGGCAAGUUGCAUUUACUUUGUGCAUUUGUGUAAAUUUUUCUGCGUUAAUAUGUGUCUCUACACAAAUUCACGGAUUCAACGAAAAUAAUGGCAGUAAUUAUACGCUACCUGCGUAUGCCAUUGCCUCAAAAGCCAAUCUUCUCAACUCGACAUGUGGAAAGGAGCUACAUGAUUUUCGAGACGCUAUUGAUCAACGAAUACUGUGGAGUUUGAAAAUGCUAGAUUCUAGCGGUGAACCUAAAUCAGGCUUUCUUUAUGGAAAUAAUUAUUGGCUAGGCAGUCGCAGCCAGUGUUACGAUACAAUGAAUAAAUAUCCUUUUGAACUCUCAAAACGAAAUUUAUUAAAUAAUUCACUAUACCGUGAUCGACAAAAAGAGUAUCCGCCUUUCAAAAUUAAUUACUUUGUUGCCCACUUUAAACACAAUAGUACUCUUCAGUACCACGUGGAAUUACCAAACGAAGAUUUAAUUGUACUUGGCCUUUGUUUACCAGCAUCAUGUUCUAUAAAUGAUCUAAGCGUUAUUCUGGAGAGAAUAUUUCAAGAUAGACUUCUCUUGAUUGGUAAUCUUUAUGCCAUGGAUUUCAGAUUGAUCGAAGUUAAAGAUCUAAAAGACGAUCAUCAAUGGUUAUUUAGUGGUGCGAUACCUCUCAUCAGUGUUAUUUUAAUGCUUACUAUUUGCGCGAUGAUAAUCGGAACUAUAUAUGAUGUUUUCGUGCAUCAAAAACAUUUAAAUGCAAAGAAUAAAACUCAUAAGAAAAAUAUACACGAACAAAUGGAAAUAACUACUUUGCCAUCGCAUCAAGAAAAUAAACUUGGAAAAAUACUAAUGUGUUUCUCCAUUUAUACAAAUACGAAAAUAAUAUUGAGUAUGAAAGUAGAAGGUGAUUCAAUACCUAUUAUUUACGGUUUAAAAUUGAUUUCCACGAUUUGGAUAAUCAGCAUUCACAUUGCUUUUUUCUCAAUUGAUUAUAUUGAUAAUAAAAUAUGGGCUCUCAGAUUAAGCGCCAGCUUGCCCAGUCAAGUAUUCACCAGUGCGACUUUAGCAGUUGAGACGUUUCUUUUUCUAAGUGGAUUUUUAAUGACCUACUCAUAUCUAAAGCAUGAAAAAGGUCAAGAAAAAACUAUACCGAUUCCCUACAAAGCGAAACUAAAUAAGUUCUUUUUUCUUAUAAUAAAAAGAUUUAUACGGUUAACACCCGCUUAUAUGAUGAUGAUUGGAAUAACACAAUUAAAUUGGUUUUGGUACGACAAAACAUCACAAUUUUACAUGAGUGACAAACUGCACGAACUUUGUGCGAAAUAUUGGUGGAGAAAUCUUUUGUAUAUUAAUAAUCUUUUCGAUUAUUCUACAAUGUGCAUGUCUUGGACUUGGUAUCUUGCCAUUGAUAUGCAAUUUUAUAUAAUCAGUGUUGGCCUAUUAAUUUUAUCUACUAUGUACUUUUACAUAGCUGUCGUCAUCUUGGGCAUUCUUUUAAUUGGCACAAUUGUGUUUUCUGGCUAUAUUUCAUAUGCAUACGAAUAUGUUCCGACAUUCGAUGAAAUGUUCAGACUUGCAAAUGUUUUAUAUCUUCCAUCAUGGAUCAGAAUAAGUUCAUAUCUUGUUGGAAUAAUUACGGGUUACAUUUUAGUAAAGCUAAACAAAAAAUUGAGCUUAAAUAAGCAAAUUCUAAUUUUAUGUUGGUUCCUUGGAAUUACUUGUAACAUUUCUGUGUUAUUCGGUCUUUAUAAGCGACAGAUAUCAGUUCUAUCUAGUGCUAUCUAUAUCGCAUUAAGCAAAAGUGCUUGGACCAUUGGUAUAGGAUGGAUUGUAAUAGCAUGCUCUACUAAAAACGGAGGCAUUAUUGAGAAAAUAUUAUCAUUCAGAGGCUUUAUCCCUCUUAGUAAACUCACGUAUUGCGCUUAUCUUAUACAUCCUUUUGUCAUACAAUCGGUUAACUUGUAUGCUGAAACAGCCAGCCAUGCAGAAAUACCGUACCUAGUUAAUAGGUUUUUUGGAUAUGUUGUGAUGUCUUUCGGAUGCAGUUAUAUAUUAACCUUAAUGGCAGAAAUGCCGUAUAUCUUGCUAAUGCAAAUGUAUACCCAAUCUCGCGGUGGAAAAAAACAUAGAGAAUUUGAAAUUGCAGUUUCGCAUACAAAAUUGUGACGGAAAUACUGUGUGUUAGCCGACACAUUAGUGUGCAUUGUUCAAUUCUAUUCAUUGGUAAACGAAAUGUGGACAAACGAGAUGUCGGCAAUCAAUACUGUAGGCAAUCAAUAUCAGCGGGAAUUGUCGGAAAACAAAGCCGCUCACGACUGUCUUCUCUAUCUGGUCAAGAUGCAUCGUGAAUUAUUCAUGGUUUCAUCAGACAUGUUGACGCAGUGCCACUUUAACUACAUGGAAGAGAGCAUUCCAGUGGCGUUGGAGGAAUUGGGUUCGGAAUUGAAGCAGGAUUGGAGGGGUUAUUCUAUAUGCU
Linepithema humile (Argentine ant) is the source of this 2715-nucleotide non-coding RNA. The record is from RefSeq and is a predicted model, not a curated record. NCBI's taxonomy places the organism in Eukaryota, Metazoa, Arthropoda, Insecta, Hymenoptera, Formicidae.